UGUAGAAGUUAAUAAGAAUAUGUAAGAAGUACAGGAAGACUAUAACAACAAAAGAGGGCAAUGCAACAAACUUAUUCUGGUUGAGUACAAGGAGAGCCAACAGCUAUAACGGAGGCAAUGAAAGGAGCUCUGAAAGAUUUGAAUCUGAACAUUGUGGAAAUGACUGAUGAGAAUGCCACACUGGAUGGAGGAGAUGUGCUUUUUACAGGUCGAGAGUUCUUUGUGGGCCUUUCCAAACGGACCAAUCAGAGAGGAGCAGAGAUCCUAGCUGAUGCCUUUAAGGUGAGUUUAAAUGAUGCAGUGGUGUAAAA
Long non-coding RNA from Micropterus salmoides (largemouth bass), 311 nucleotides. RefSeq lists it as uncharacterized. Lineage: Eukaryota; Metazoa; Chordata; Actinopteri; Centrarchiformes; Centrarchidae. The record is from RefSeq and is a predicted model, not a curated record. The transcript is spliced from 3 exons.